This 486-nucleotide ribosomal RNA is filed under the name uncultured bacterium. RNAcentral describes it as "partial 16S ribosomal RNA". It matches the Rfam family "Bacterial small subunit ribosomal RNA", at positions 30 to 507 of the family's 1533-position model. The record is from RNAcentral.
AUUGAACGCUGGCGGCAUGCCUUACACAUGCAAGUCGAACGGCAGCACGGGUGCUUGCACCUGGUGGCGAGUGGCGAACGGGUGAGUAAUACAUCGGAACAUGUCCUAUAGUGGGGGAUAGCCCGGCGAAAGCCGGAUUAAUACCGCAUACGAUCUACGGAUGAAAGCGGGGGACCUUCGGGCCUCGCGCUAUAGGGUUGGCCGAUGGCUGAUUAGCUAGUUGGUGGGGUAAAGGCCUACCAAGGCGACGAUCAGUAGCUGGUCUGAGAGGACGACCAGCCACACUGGGACUGAGACACGGCCCAGACUCCUACGGGAGGCAGCAGUGGGGAAUUUUGGACAAUGGGCGAAAGCCUGAUCCAGCAAUGCCGCGUGUGUGAAGAAGGCCUUCGGGUUGUAAAGCACUUUUGUCCGGAAAGAAAUCCUUGGCCCUAAUACGGUCGGGGGAUGACGGUACCGGAAGAAUAAGCACCGGCUAACUACGUG